Melospiza melodia melodia is the source of this 668-nucleotide long non-coding RNA. RefSeq lists it as uncharacterized. NCBI's taxonomy places the organism in Eukaryota, Metazoa, Chordata, Aves, Passeriformes, Passerellidae. The record is from RefSeq and is a predicted model, not a curated record. The transcript has 2 exons.
UUCCUUUAAUCAAGAAAGCAUUUCUUAUAUUAUGGACAUAGAAUUUCCUUGUCUUGUUGACCUGAAAUUUCCCUGUGUGUUGUCCCAGUGGUCACAGACCCAUGGUUUAAUCCAUCUGAAUUUUCACAAGCACUGUCUGUGUGAGGAGCAAUGUGCUUUGGUGCCUUGGGACAUUUGUCAUCCAAUUCCUCUGCUCAGGAAAAUGAGAGAGUUUAAAGUUUCCAUCCAGAGCAGUCUCCAUUUCUUCUUUCUACCCACUGUGUCUGCCAGCUGCAGCAGUUGCCUCUUCCCUGCAAGCUUGAGCUGAGUUUGCAUUUCCAUCAGCAGCAGCCCUGGUGUGUGGUGACAGUGCUUUCCACUUCAUGGGCAGCAGCUUGUGGCUCAGGGAGGGACUGGCCCACAGAACUGGUGCUGGUUUCCUCAGUGCCUGAAAUGCCAGGAAGGAGGAGGUUUCUGAAGUACCCCAGGCCUGCAAGGCUCUUAAGACAAGCUCAUCUUCCCCAAUCACGGUCAGAUAUCAGUGGGAUCACGGGACAAACUUGGGGGCAAUUGCUUCAUUUAGAAAAGCAGAGUUGUUGAAUUUUUCUAAACCUUUGUGUGUUCAUGAGUGAUGUACAUUUUUUUGUCAGACUGCCUUUGUAUCCUCAUUAAAAGAGAUCCAAAGUCAA